UCUGGGUUGGGAUGAGUGGCGAACGGGUGAGUAACACGUGAGUAACCUGCCCCCUUCCUUUGGGAUAACGGUCGGAAACGGCUGCUAAUACCGGGUAUUCACUGUCCUUCGCAUGGGGGGUGGGUGGAAAGGUUUUUUUCUGGUGGGGGAUGGGCUCGCGGCCUAUCAGCUUGUUGGUGGGGUGAUGGCUUACCAAGGCUUUGACGGGUAACCGGCCUGAGAGGGUGACCGAUCACAUUGGGACUGAGAUACGGCCCAG
Molecule: ribosomal RNA, 259 nt
Filed under: uncultured bacterium
Lineage: Bacteria
Description: partial 16S ribosomal RNA
Rfam family: Bacterial small subunit ribosomal RNA
Source: RNAcentral